This 452-nucleotide unclassified non-coding RNA is filed under the name Hevea brasiliensis (rubber tree). The record is from RNAcentral. Lineage: Eukaryota; Viridiplantae; Streptophyta; Magnoliopsida; Malpighiales; Euphorbiaceae.
GGAAGCAAGAUACUAAUGAACCAUGAGAACUAAAACAUAUCAGAUCUGUUGGCCAAAAGCCAUGAAGAAAGGGUUAACAAAGUCAAGGAUCCAAAUUUAAGCCACUCAGCUCAAGUUCCAAUCAAUCUACAGGCUGCCUAAGCAGAUGAAGUAAUUGCUCACAACCACAAGUAGCAAUCACAAAAACCUGGUAAAACAAUAGCACAUAAGUGGAUAGGUGUAUAAUUCUUCAUACAGUUGUUACACAGUGUAAGCCUAUAUCCUAUUCCUGAAUGUGUAGAGUGACAAUAAAUGUAACAAUUCAAGGCUAUAUCCUAUUCCUAAAUAUGUGGAGUGGCAAUAUAUGUAACAGUUCCACCACCCAGCCAGUUCAAAAAGAUAUUUUCCAGCCAAGGGGGGGUUUAGUAAUGGAAAACUAGGCAUGUUUUCCAGGAAAAUUACUCUAAGAAAAC